RNAcentral lists this transfer RNA (71 nucleotides) under Camelus bactrianus (Bactrian camel). It matches the Rfam family "tRNA". From Rfam's summary of the family: Transfer RNA (tRNA) molecules are approximately 80 nucleotides in length. Their secondary structure includes four short double-helical elements and three loops (D, anti-codon, and T loops). RNAcentral also lists the same sequence under 1 other name. Lineage: Eukaryota; Metazoa; Chordata; Mammalia; Artiodactyla; Camelidae. The record is from Rfam by way of RNAcentral.
GUGGGUAUAGCUCAGUGGUAGAUCGCAUGUUAGCAUGCACAAGGUCCUGAGUUCAAUCCUCAGUACCUCCA